Molecule: unclassified non-coding RNA, 5005 nt
Filed under: Zerene cesonia (dogface butterfly)
Lineage: Eukaryota; Metazoa; Arthropoda; Insecta; Lepidoptera; Pieridae
Description: coiled-coil domain-containing protein AGAP005037, transcript variant X1
Source: RNAcentral
UAGUAUGUGAGGUUUAAGGUUAUAUUUAUGUUUUUUUUUGUUCAAGUAAAUAGGAGUUUUGACAGAAUAUAGUUGGUGGAUUCAAAGUCAUGUGUUAUUUGUGUUUAGUGUGUACUAAUUAAACCCGCGCACAUUAAAUAAGACGACUUAUGCACUACUUGUGAGUAACUUUGUCGAGUUUCAACAUAAUCUACAGGUAAUAUACACAUAAUUUAGGCACAUCAUGUCGGAAAGUAGCAGAAAGAAAACCAGUAGCUUUCGCAAAAUAUUCCCAUUUUUCUCUCACAAGUCCAAAGAUAAACUGAAGGAUGUUCAACCUAUUUCAAAAAUGAGAGAAAAUAAUAGUAAAACUAUUAACCAAUAUUAUAAUCCUCAAACAAUGAUAUCAACUGCAAACGAAAAGCGAAACAUAUCUGGUCAAGAUGAUCAAAACGAUAGAAUUUAUGAAAACCUCUCCAUUCGGACUACUUUAUCAAGAAAUAAUAACCAGCGAGAAGUAGAGUCGAAAGAUUCUUCAAAUAGUACACUUGUGUCAGAGAGUGUAAUAAUAAGUAAACAUAAUCACAACGCAGAUUUGCCUACUCAAGAGACGGACAUGAAAAUAUACGUAGCACGACCGCAAGUACCACCUAAACCUCAUAAUGAAAAUUUUGCAUUUCAUCCGGGUUCCAAUAACACACAGAGAGAAAUAACACAGUACCCUGACGUUUAUUAUCAUUCCGUAGAAAGACUCGUCGAAAGAAUAUCACCAGUAGACGAAAUAGAAAUAUAUAAAGCAGCACAAACAAAUCCAGCUUCAGUAGGAGCUGAAAUAAAAAGAGUAAGCACAACAUUUUUAAUAUCACCUAAAAAAGAAGCCGAAGUGCGUACAUUACAACCAAUAAGAGCUCGCAGUUUAUCACUUGAUAAGCAUAAGCCUUGUGAAAAUCCUUAUACAAAAACGAAUUAUACUGUCAAUAAAUAUGAUAACAAGAAAAAAGCGUACCAUUAUUCUGCUCCAACGUCGCCCAUUGCAGUGAAUCAUAGACUUCCAAAUAUGCCGUUGACUGUAUCUCCCUACGAACAUGUAAGAAAAAUAAUUUUUGAAGGCGAAGAAGGAAGAAAUUCAAUGAGCAGGUCUAGCACUCGGGAACAAUCAACUCCUCCAACGUCGCCUUUUAGAGACGUUGCAAAAUCUCCUACUCCGAGUGCAGUCGACAAAGGAAAAACGCGACAAAAAGUGGAAGCGUUUUAUUGGAAAAAGAUUAAAGAAAUGAAAGAAAAAGAAGAUGAAUACAUAAUGAGACAAACUAUGAAUACUACUACGCCUUUACAGAAGUGUAAUGCACCCAAUUCCAUAUCUAAUUGCAGUUCGCCAAAUUCAUUCGUAUUAGAUCCCCGAAUAAAUUCUUACCCAAUUUAUACUAAAGAAGCAAACUUACGUAAACAGACUGAUUACUAUACAGCAUCUCCUUUUACAAGAGGUGCUCCAGAACGGCGAACAGAUUCAUUUAUAAGCAAUAAGACCUAUUACCCAGAGUCUGACAUAAUCUAUAGACAUCCUCAAAAAUUAUCAUCUCCUGUAAUUUUUGGUCAACAUACGCCUUUGUAUCAGAGAGGUUCUUUGAAUCGGGAAAACAGAGCUGUUGUUAAUCAAUAUCCAAAACGGGUUAGUUUUGAUAAUAAUCAUUUGAAACACGACGACAGUGCGUCCGUUACUUCCAAUAAUUCUAAAUUGCACAAUGAAAGGAGGACUAACUCUAGACUGUCUGACUUUAAACCGAUGCCAAGUGAUGUGAUAAUAAAGAACGGAGUGGGACCACCUCAACCGCCGAUUCGUACAACAAGUGUUAGUAGUGGUAGUGCUUCGUUACACCAUAAGCUGGUCAACAACAGAUUUGGACGUGUAUCUGGUGGCCAUUCUAUUUAUUCAGAAUCGGAAAGUGGAUCUGAGGCUGGAGAAAUUCAACGAAUAUUACUUAACGACGAACGUAAAGAAGAAGACUGGCAAGGAGAUGGAAGAAUUGACGGAGGCUUAUCGGAUGGGGAGGCGACCCGAGUGCCUUUUCGUUCCCGAUCCUCUCGGCGCGACGAUCCACGUCGACACACUUUGGCUGGAAACAAUCUCUACCUGCACCCUCACCAUGCAGCGGACCUCAAUAAUCUCGAUCUAGAACAGUAUCGACCUGCGCAGGCGGCUAAUGUUCCCGUAUACGCGACGGUCAUAAAAGAUUAUGACAUGAGACGAAAUCGGUCUUUAGACCCUCGCUUCAGAAAGCCUCCAUUGCCCCGCGGCUAUUUACCGCAAACGUUCUUCUACGAUGAUGAUCCUGGGGUUAUGUCCGAGGUGGAAACCUCAUCCACUGGAUUCCGAAGAGGAGGAAAGCAACGUUCCUCCCUGCCGGUUGUGCGUACGCCGAGCAAAACGCUUGAAAGACCGUUAGAUACGGUGUUCUUGUCCGCAGGCCUCGUCUUUCUGCAAUACCGAAAUGAGACCAAACGCGCUCUACUGCCCAACGAGAUUACAUCCCUUGAUACUGUAAAAGCGCUCUUUGUCCGUAGCUUUCCCAAGCAACUUACUAUGGACUACUUGGAUAGUCCACUAGUUAAGGUUUACAUUCAUGACAGUUCAAAGGAUAUGUUCUAUGAACUCGAGGACGUGCGGGCUCAUCUACGUGACAUACGUGACCGAUCAGUGCUCCGUCUUUUUGAGUCCAAGGAUCUAAACGGUGGAGUAUUCCCUGGGGCCCUUGGUGUGGGAUCGGUAAGGCUGCCGGCUCUUGCCGCAACCAGUUCUUCCGCUGCCAACUUAGAGGAGCAAAGUACUUACUUUAGUGAGCCAGAGAUUGAUUCAGAUCAUCUAUCGCAACAUGUUCACAAGAGCAAGAGCAAACCACCUGCUUACUACAUGGGUCCUCCAGCACCUAGCACGCUGCCGAGGGGCGGCAGCGUCCUUCGGGCGUUUUCUCCCGCCGCGCCGCCCGUGCCGGCCGAUCGCGUGAAAACCAUUCCACCGCCAGGUGCUCCCCCGGUCAAGCCAGUGCGGUCAUACGUGCCGGGGACAGGCUCUGAGAGGUGUUUCCCAUUCUCCGCCGGCGAUUGUCCCCGGGGUACCGAUCAACUUUACACCAUCCCCGCCCACUCCAGCGAGGGCUACAUGUCGUCUCCCGAGCGAGGCUCCGCUAGAGUGCCCUACGAAGACCCGUACUAUACGCAGUUCCUGGGCCCAGCUGCGGCCAGGCCUGCCAUUAAUCCGGUCAUCGACGAAGAAACUAGUGAUGCUGUGAUCAUAGACGACGCUUACCAAAUGUAUGGAGUGAACGCCAUUACAACUGCGCCGCGACCAAUGCCUCGACCCCCAUACGAUGCUAGGCUGGGUCCUCCUGUGGAUGAUAUGCAGCGUCUUCGCGUCGAGAAAAUGGAGCGGCAGCUCGCUAACCUCACUGGACUUGUCCAGAAAGCUCUUCAGGUACCCGGCGGGCCGGCUCCACCAACCGUUGCUCCUCGGCAGGACUUCCAACAACCGUCUACGAGCCGAGUGACAACCCAAGAUGCCGCACGUUUUGCCAGCAGCGAGAGACCUCCCAAAUUGGGGAGGGACAGAUUUCAGAAGUCAGUCUCUUUUGAGAAAUCGGUAUCGUUUAGCGAUGACCCACCAGACAUGAACUCUCCCAAACAACACUCGCCUCAACACUCAGCUGAUACAAAACCAACAAAACCGGCAAUCAAGUCAUCCACUUUGCCGAGGACGUCAUCACAAGAGAGAGACCGCUUGAAGCCAGCCCCGCCGCCGAAGCCAGCCGGGCUCGUGGGCCAGCCGCUCGCGCUCGUCCCACAAAAAACCUAUACUGUUACAGUAACGCCUGAUUUCUUCAAUCAACUGCAUCUCCUACAGAAGCAAAGUCACGAUCUCAGGAUUGAGACUCGUAAUCUUCGCCGUACUACCUUAUCCCAUGCAAUGCAGAUGAGGCAAAUGAUGGCGGAUACUAUUGUGAAGAUCGGCACUCUGGCCGCUAGAUUCUGUGAGGAAGAUCCAGAGUCGCAACUCACUCGCGAGGAAGAAAUUUAUCGUCAGGACAUGCUGUUACUGGAGAAUGACUUGUAUGAACUGGAGGCAACUGUGGAGCGCCUUCGCGGCCAAGCUGCUAAUAGAUUGGAAACUCGCGUCAACAUGGCAGACAUCGAACGCAUUGCAAUGGUCUUGUCCAAGAGUAGCAAGACUGUUGCCGAUUGGAAGCUGAAAUUCCCCGUGCUCCAGGAAACCAUGAAAGUCAAACUUGCUGCUGAAAUGGAAAAGGUUGUCCGCAAAGAGAAAAUGCUGGAAGAGGAGCCCGAACGCCUCGAGCUCGCUUUGCGUCGUUGCAAAAAGUUAACCGGGACGCUAGUAACGCUGAAGAGAUUGGCUUGCGUGCAAGAACAACGCUUGCCACUGAACGACGGCCGCGUCUCGCCCUCGUCCUCUCAGAGCUCCACGGCCACAGCUGGUCCCUCUUCCGAGGAGUACCACUCGGAAAAUGCUUGUCAUGUCAAUCAAUCCAAUAAGCCCGUUCUCAAAACCAGAAGCAGCACAAAUUACCUUGGAAUCUAAUUCAAUUCAAUCCCUUAUCCUUUUCCUUACCCGGCCACUUUUACAAACCUGAAAUUUAUGUCACUAACUUGCACGCAAGCGUGUGGUAUCGCCGUGUAGUUAUUAUAAUCCGAAUACUUAUAACUCCAAACUUACUAAAUACACGUGUAGAUUAUUGUUUUCGAAAGUAAACAAAUAGCUUCCCAUUACACUUAAUUAUACCACAAUAUUUACGACGAUAAAACCCCAUCCUAACUGCCUGUUCUCGAAUUCAAAGCUAUGAAAAGAGAUAUGAAAAUUAACCCCGCAUCUGGAGUCCAGGCAGCCGGCGCCGGGCGAGUGUGUACGUCCCGGGGAACGACGGACGUGCGGCCAGAGAACGCCCUCGAUGCGCUACUAGACGAAUUGCAAACGUUCGCCAAGCCCGCGGAGCGCAGCGCGCGCGGCGAGGGGCCUCUG